AUUCGGCUGACGAGUCCAAAAUCUGACGAAACAUGCGUCCUGGAU
Molecule: non-coding RNA, 45 nt
Filed under: Schistosoma mattheei
Lineage: Eukaryota; Metazoa; Platyhelminthes; Trematoda; Strigeidida; Schistosomatidae
Source: RNAcentral